AAGCCCAAAGAGAGAGGCAGGGUCUGAUCUGCAUCCUCCAUGGCAGCUGUUGAUCAGUACUUGCCUUUCUCUUUCUCUCUG
Non-coding RNA from Myotis brandtii (Brandt's bat), 81 nucleotides. NCBI's taxonomy places the organism in Eukaryota, Metazoa, Chordata, Mammalia, Chiroptera, Vespertilionidae. The record is from Rfam.